Molecule: long non-coding RNA, 945 nt
Organism: Sapajus apella (tufted capuchin)
Lineage: Eukaryota; Metazoa; Chordata; Mammalia; Primates; Cebidae
Exons: 2
Source: RefSeq, a predicted model, not a curated record
CAGACCCUGAAGAUCUACUUGAUGGUGCAGAGUGGGAGGAGGAAUAUCAAUAAGUUCCAAUUGAAGAGCGGAUUCUUUUGCAAUUCAGGCAUGUGCCGGCGAUAACGGGCGAGUUGGCAUGAAGAGAGGCAGAGAUGGAUUAAUUAUGCAGAGAACAUGGAAAUUCUGCUUAUCAUCGGCUAGCAAAGGAGCCCGGCUCACAUAAUCAGCAAACGAAGGGAGAGGAAAAAAUAACAAUGCAAUGGCACCUUCCAGCCCAUCAUCAGGAUUUUUUCUACCCCCUUGUAAUUAAAAAAUAACAUACACUUAUAGCCCUAUCUCCUGUGCAGGCAAGGAGUGGAUGUCCACAAAAUAAUUGCACUGGGAUAUUAGAGCUGGCGACACGGGCUGUCCAUUCCGGCUUGCUCUCCUGCUCACCCUCUUUCUCUUUUGGCCUCUCAAGGUACUUUGCUUCUGAAACCAGUCCAAAUCAGAGGGAUGUCUCAGGUGACAUUCUAGCUCGGUUUCCAAAAAUCCCAAAUUGGUACCUUAUCAUGAUCCAAGCAAACAUACAUACAUAUAUGAUAAAUAUUUGGAGGGCUGACUCUAGGGGAAGCUUUGGAACUGAUCACCUGUGGACUAUCUGGUCAGUUUCAUUUUUGAUGAAACAUGUCCAAAUAGCCUUCAUUUUGCAAAGUGACUGGAUUAAAAUGGUGGCUGUGCAAUGACUGUGCUAUCUUCUCAAAUCAUUUAACUUAUUUACAACUUUUUGUUUCUAUUAACUUUGCCAACUCAUUUUAUAAAUGUAAGUUAAUGAUUGCAAUGUUUGUUCCUCAAAAUCAGAAUUAACAGUUCUCUAUUGUCAUUGUAAAAUCUGACAGCUCAAUGCUUUGUAUUUCUCUAAAUGCCAGAAGACUACAAUAAACCUAGUUUAUUGCUUUGAAUAAAAUAAAAUUUAAUCUUACA